CUCUAAGAAAUGACUUUUUUCAUCACAUAUGUACAGAAAACAAUAACUUUAAUAAUUUAAAUGAAGAAGAAAAAAUUCAUUAUUUACUAAAUCCAUCAUCACCUUUACAAACAAAUAAGAUAGGACUUCUUGAAAAAGACAUUAGAACUGAGGGCAGGGGACUCUUAACAACUUGUUUGUUGUUAUAAAUUUUAAUGCUGUUGAUAUUUUGUAUGUUUAAUAUGUAUGUAUUUAUGUUUAUUGUGUUUAUUGUAUUAAUAUAUGUUGGUCACAAACUGUAAAGUUUAUAUGACAAUAAAAUAUUUGAUUGAUUGAUUGAUAAAAGCUUUAGAUAUUUAACAUAUAUAAAUGACAAAUGAGAUACAGACUUUUGAAUUUAAACAUGAACAUUUUGAAUAAAAUAUAUGGUUAAUUUCAAUGUCAAUGAAAUGAUAGCCAAAAAAAUAAAAAAUACAAGGUACAACAAAAAAACAUUUGCCAGUUGGCAGAUAUCAUCCAACAUAUCUUAUAUUUAAACACCAAUAAAAUUAACAAAUCUAAAUGAAAUACUGUAAACCAACUAAUUUUCAUGAGCAAUUAAUUUUUAGCAAGUAGAGAAAUAUUCCUGUACGAAAUUAUAAGGCGUAUUACGCCUGGAAAUAAGGCGUAUUACGCCUGGAAAUAAGGCGUAUUACGCCUGGAAAUAAGGCGUAAACCAGGCGUAAGUGGUAGUUACGUGUCUAGAUCCAGGCGUAAGGGAGCAGGAAACGUAAACUUGUAGUCCUUACGGGCGUAGAAAAAAGUGGUAAACCUGGCCUAAAUUGAAAUAAGCAAGGCGUAAAUUUUCUUACGGGCGUAAAUCUGUUGGUAUGGCUUAAAUAAUAAUACCCAUUAUGCUUUGUUUAAAGGAUCAUGGGAUUUUUUUUUUCAAAAUUUGGCUCUUUGGUUUUAGUUUGCAAGAGUGAAUGGAUAUAUAUUCAAGGAUAAUUAGCUUGUUUUGUGCUUUUUGUAAGAAUUUGAAAUUAGAAUUAUGGAAUCAAAUUGAUUAAUGAAAAUUGUGAAAUAAAAGGAAAGUAAGUAUGCAUGGUAAAUAAUAAUUAAGUUAUUAAGUUUUAUGUUUCAUCAGAAAUUUUGAAAUCCCAAAACCUUUAUUUUUGGAUA
Molecule: long non-coding RNA, 1140 nt
Filed under: Mytilus galloprovincialis (Mediterranean mussel)
Lineage: Eukaryota; Metazoa; Mollusca; Bivalvia; Mytilida; Mytilidae
Source: RNAcentral